Long non-coding RNA from Tympanuchus pallidicinctus (lesser prairie-chicken), 819 nucleotides. RefSeq lists it as uncharacterized. The transcript is spliced from 4 exons. Lineage: Eukaryota; Metazoa; Chordata; Aves; Galliformes; Phasianidae. The record is from RefSeq and is a predicted model, not a curated record.
GACAUGUUGAAUGGAAUUUUUUUUUAUUUUGGAGAGAGAUGCUCUACACAGAUGUGCCUAUGAAAGAGAGGGCAAAGAAAACACAGGAUGUGUGCUGAAACCCAAUGAAAGCACUGGAAAGAUGCCCGUUGACUUUAGAGAGACUUGGAUCUGGUCUUGAAAUGGGCCUGAACGAGGAACACACAGGGCAGCCAAAGACAUCAGCAACAUCUGCCAGCCACCUCUGGAAGGCAGGAGCAUCGCUGAGGGCUGGAUGGAGGCUCCUCCAUCAGUGGAGCCCUCAGCCGCAGACAAGACCUUGACCCAUAGGAUAUUUAAAGCUGAAAGGAACCACUGGUUCCCUCAAGUCCAUCCUUUCCCAGCAAAAGACUAACUUCAAAGAGAGGUCACAUUGCUCAGGACCAUGCCCAGUUGUGUCUUGAGCAUCCCUAAAGAAUGCAUCUCCAAGGAUGGAACUUUCCCUGCUACAGUUCUCAGCCAUAACUUCCUGGCACUUCCCUGGGAAGGGAGAAAACUAGACCUCUCCACUCUGAAGCCAGACCUUGGAAAUGGAGGACAGCAAUUAUCUUCCCUCUCUGUGCUCAGCUCAGCCACGAUAUCACCAGUUCUUGGAUCUGUGGUACCAGGUGCCCCAAAUGUUCACGCUCCUUCUUGGGCAUUCCAAGCACCCUUCUGCUUCUAGUAUGUAACAAGAGUUCCCAGUGCUCAAAAUCCUGGGGAACACAUUCUUCUUCCUAACUCCAAAGGUAUUUGAGUGCCAGAAUGUUGCUCUCUGCCACCCUUUCUUUGACUCACAGUAAAAAGGUUUAUGAAGUUUGA